UUAAGCAGUGAAGAAGACUCCGUGGUUAAUACCCACGGACGAUGACAUUAGCUGCAGAAUAAGCACCGGCUAACUCUGUGCCAGCAGCCGCGGUAAUACAGAGGGUGCAAGCGUUAAUCGGAAUUACUGGGCGUAAAGCGAGCGUAGGUGGCUUGAUAAGUCAGAUGUGAAAUCCCCGGGCUUAACCUGGGAACUGCAUCUGAUACUGUUAGGCUAGAAUAGGUGAGAGGAAGGUAGAAUUCCAGGUGUAGCGGUGAAAUGCGUAGAGAUCUGGAGGAAUACCGAUGGCGAAGGCAGCCUUCUGGCAUCAUAUUGACACUGAGGUUCGAAAGCGUGGGUAGCAAACAGGAUUAGAUACCCUGGUAGUCCACGCCGUAAACGAUGUCUACUAGUCGUUGGGUCCCUUGAGGACUUAGUGACGCAGCUAACGCAAUAAGUAGACCGCCUGGGGAGUACGGCCGCAAGGUUAAAACUCAAAUGAAUUGACGGGGGCCCGCACAAGCGGUGGAGCAUGUGGUUUAAUUCGAUGCAACGCGAAGAACCUUACCUGGUCUUGACAUAUCUAGAAUCCUGCAGAGAUGCGGGAGUGCCUUCGGGAAUUAGAAUACAGGUGCUGCAUGGCUGUCGUCAGCUCGUGUCGUGAGAUGUUGGGUUAAGUCCCGCAACGAGCGCAACCCUUGUCCUUAGUUACCAGCGGGUUAAGCCGGGAACUCUAAGGAUACUGCCAGUGACAAACUGGAGGAAGGCGGGGACGACGUCAAGUCAUCAUGGCCCUUACGACCAGGGCUACACACGUGCUACAAUGGUAGGUACAGAGGGCAGCUACACAGCGAUGUGAUGCGAAUCUCAAAAAGCCUAUCGUAGUCCAGAUUGGAGUCUGCAACUCGACUCCAUGAAGUAGGAAUCGCUAGUAAUCGCGGAUCAGAAUGCCGCGGUGAAUACGUUCCCGGGCCUUGUACACACCGCCCGUCA
RNAcentral lists this ribosomal RNA (972 nucleotides) under Psychrobacter sp. m16. RNAcentral describes it as "bacterial SSU rRNA". It matches the Rfam family "Bacterial small subunit ribosomal RNA", at positions 434 to 1399 of the family's 1533-position model. Lineage: Bacteria; Pseudomonadati; Pseudomonadota; Gammaproteobacteria; Moraxellales; Moraxellaceae. The record is from RNAcentral.